RNAcentral lists this transfer-messenger RNA (377 nucleotides) under Oscillospiraceae bacterium. It matches the Rfam family "transfer-messenger RNA". From Rfam's summary of the family: Bacterial tmRNA, also known as 10Sa RNA or SsrA, is named for its dual tRNA and mRNA-like properties. The record is from RNAcentral. Lineage: Bacteria; Bacillati; Bacillota; Clostridia; Eubacteriales; Oscillospiraceae.
GGGGAUGCAAUGGUUUCGACGGGGGCGUCGAGAUGUGAACAGCGGGCGGAUGCGCCCACCAUCCGAAAAAUGGGCGUCUUUAUAAAUUAAAGAACAACAACGAAUAUCUUCCGGUAGCCGCUUAGGCUACCCGUCCUGACCGAUAGUUCCACGGAUCGUUCAAGGGCGUCACUUUAGUGGAGAACGUGAGUGCGCUGAGCUUGGAUGCGCGCCAUGAAUAAAAAGCUACCGAGUCGCGCCGCGUGACGGUUUGCGCCGCGACAAGGGAACGGGUCUUCGGCGUCUGACGCCGAAAGCGCCGAAAUAACCGUCUGCGCCCGGAGAAAUUUGCAUUGAAGCGCUUUCGGACGCGGGUUCGAUUCCCGCCAUCUCCACCA